AAGUAGGUAGCUUAAACUUAAAGCCUAACACUGAAGAUGUUAUUAUAGAUACUAUUCUUCUACUUGU
RNAcentral lists this transfer RNA (67 nucleotides) under Pleurobranchaea sp. TY-2016. Its description in RNAcentral is "tRNA-Phe". The record is from RNAcentral. Lineage: Eukaryota; Metazoa; Mollusca; Gastropoda; Pleurobranchida; Pleurobranchidae.